AACGCACCUUGCGCCUCUUGGUAUUCCGAGAGGCAUGCCUGUUUGAGUGUCUUAUAAAAUCAAUCCCCAUGGGUUUCAUUACCCUGUGGUGGACUUGGACUUGGGCGCCUGCCGCCUGGCUCGCCUCAAAGACGUUAGUGGGACAAGCUGCCUACGGCUCGACGUGAUAAGUUUCGUCUGGCCUGGGUCCUUAUGUCCGCUCAUAACCCGCCCCUCGGGCAACACUUUAUGUCAGACCUCAAAUCAGGUAGGAUUACCCGCCGAACUUAA
RNAcentral lists this unclassified non-coding RNA (270 nucleotides) under uncultured fungus. Its description in RNAcentral is "sequence contains ITS2". The stretch from base 1 to 52 matches the Rfam family "5.8S ribosomal RNA", at positions 103 to 154 of the family's 154-position model. The record is from RNAcentral. Lineage: Eukaryota; Fungi.